Molecule: ribosomal RNA, 303 nt
Filed under: uncultured bacterium
Lineage: Bacteria
Description: partial 16S ribosomal RNA
Rfam family: Bacterial small subunit ribosomal RNA
Source: RNAcentral
AGCAGUAGCCACGGUAAUACAGAGGGUGCGAGCGUUAAUCGGAUUUACUGGGCGUAAAGCGUGCGUAGGCGGCUUUUUAAGUCGGAUGUGAAAUCCCUGAGCUUAACUUAGGAAUUGCAUUCGAUACUGGGAAGCUAGAGUAUGGGAGAGGAUGGUAGAAUUCCAGGUGUAGCGGUGAAAUGCGUAGAGAUCUGGAGGAAUACCGAUGGCGAAGGCAGCCAUCUGGCCUAAUACUGACGCUGAGGUACGAAAGCAUGGGGAGCAAACAGGAUUAGAUACCCGGGUAGUCCCUGUAUCUUAUAC